CCAGCAGUCACUUUUUUUUCCAGGCAAAGGGUUUGUGGACCAUCCUGGGGGUGUGAGACUGGGAAAGCCCCAGGAGGUGCUGCUCAGCACAGAUGUUGUGGAAAAGGACUUAGCUCCUGGAGGCUCAGGGUGGUAUGUAAU
This is a non-coding RNA of Sarcophilus harrisii (Tasmanian devil), 141 nucleotides long. NCBI's taxonomy places the organism in Eukaryota, Metazoa, Chordata, Mammalia, Dasyuromorphia, Dasyuridae. The record is from Rfam.